Molecule: ribosomal RNA, 404 nt
Filed under: uncultured prokaryote
Also listed under: 1 other name
Description: bacterial SSU rRNA
Rfam family: Bacterial small subunit ribosomal RNA
Source: RNAcentral
UGGGGAAUAUUGCACAAUGGGGGAAACCCUGAUGCAGCGACGCCGCGUGAGUGAAGAAGUAUUUCGGUAUGUAAAGCUCUAUCAGCAAGGAAGAUAAUGACGGUACUUGACUAAGAAGCCCAGGCUAACUACGUGCCAGCAGCCGCGGUAAUACGUAGGGGGCAAGCGUUAUCCGGAUUUACUGGGUGUAAAGGGAGCGUAGGUGGUAUGGUAAGUCAGAUGUGAAAGCCCAGGGCUCAACCCUGGGAUUGCAUUUGAAACUGCCAAACUAGAGUGCAGGAGAGGUAAGUGGAAUUCCUAGUGUAGCGGUGAAAUGCGUAGAUAUUAGGAGGAACACCAGUGGCGAAGGCGGCUUGCUGGACGAUAACUGACGCUGAGGCGCGAAAGCGUGGGGAGCAAACAGG